AAUAAGCUAUUUAAGAGCGUAAGGUGGAUGCCUUGGCUCUCAGAGGCGAUGAAGGACGUGAUAAGCUGCGAUAAGCUGCGGGGAUUGGCACACACAAUUUGAUCCGUAGAUUUCCGAAUGGGGCAACCCACUAUAUUGAAGAUAUAGUAUCCGUUAAGGAAGCAAACCCAGGGAACUGAAACAUCUAAGUACCUGGAGGAAUAGAAAACAAAAGUGAUUCC
RNAcentral lists this ribosomal RNA (221 nucleotides) under uncultured Flavobacteriaceae bacterium. RNAcentral describes it as "partial 23S ribosomal RNA". It matches the Rfam family "Bacterial large subunit ribosomal RNA", at positions 1 to 238 of the family's 2925-position model. Lineage: Bacteria; Pseudomonadati; Bacteroidota; Flavobacteriia; Flavobacteriales; Flavobacteriaceae. The record is from RNAcentral.